Molecule: unclassified non-coding RNA, 404 nt
Filed under: soil metagenome
Description: partial contains 5.8S ribosomal RNA, internal transcribed spacer 2, and large subunit ribosomal RNA
Rfam family: 5.8S ribosomal RNA (bases 1-122)
Source: RNAcentral
GAUGAAGAACGCAGCAAAAUGCGAUACUUGGUGUGAAUUGCAGAAUCCCGUGAACCAUCGAGUUUUUGAACGCAAGUUGCGCCCGAAGCCUUUUGGCCGAGGGCACGUCUGCCUGGGCGUCACGCAUCGCGUCGCCCCCCACAAAUUCUCCGUCAGGGGAGCUUGUGUUUCGGGGGCGGAUACUGGUCUCCCGUGCUCAUGGCGCGGUUGGCCGAAAUAGGAGUCCCUUCGAUGGACGCACGAACUAAUGGUGGUCGUAAAAACCCUCGUCUUUGUUUCGUGCCGUUAGUCGCGAGGGAAGCUCUUCAAAAACCCCAACGCGUCGUCUCUUGACGGCGCUUCGACCGCGACCCCAGGUCAGGCGGGACUACCCGCUGAGUUUAAGCAUAUCAAUAAGCGGAGGA